AGCGGCAACAGCUCAAAUUUGAAAUCUGGCCCCCCGGCCCGAGUUGUAAUUUGCAGAGGAUGCUUUUGGUGAGGCACCUACCGAGUCCCCUGGAAUGGGGCGCCAUAGAGGGUGAGAGCCCCGUAUGGUAGGACGCCGAGCCUCUGUAAAGCUCCUUCGACGAGUCGAGUAGUUUGGGAAUGCUGCUCUAAAUGGGAGGUAAAUUUCUUCUAAAGCUAAAUACCGGCCAGAGACCGAUAGCGCACAAGUAGAGUGAUCGAAAGAUGAAAAGCACUUUGAAAAGAGGGUUAAAAAGUACGUGAAAUUGUUGAAAGGGAAGCGCUUGUGACCAGACUUGCGCCGGGCGGAUCAUCCAGCGUUCUCGCUGGUGCACUCCGCCCGGUUCAGGCCAGCAUCGGCUUUCGCCGGGGGACAAAGGCUUCGGGAACGUGGCUCCUUUCGGGGAGUGUUAUAGCCCGUUGCGUAAUACCCCGGCGGGGACCGACGACCGCGCUUCGGCAAGGAUGCUGGCGUAAUGGUCAUCAGCGACCCGUCUUGAAACACGGACCGAGGAGUCAAGCAUUAGUGCGAGUGUUUGGGUGUAAAACCCGCACGCGUAAUGAAAGUGAACGUAGGUGAGAGCUUCGGCGCAUCAUCGACCGAUCCUGAUGUUUUCGGAAGGAUUUGAGUAGGAGCAUUAACGCUUGGACCCGAAAGAUGGUGAACUAUACUUGAAUAGGGUGAAGCCA
Molecule: ribosomal RNA, 728 nt
Filed under: Pyricularia sp. CBS 133598
Lineage: Eukaryota; Fungi; Ascomycota; Sordariomycetes; Magnaporthales; Pyriculariaceae
Description: eukaryotic LSU rRNA
Rfam family: Eukaryotic large subunit ribosomal RNA
Source: RNAcentral